Molecule: long non-coding RNA, 2792 nt
Filed under: Medicago truncatula (barrel medic)
Lineage: Eukaryota; Viridiplantae; Streptophyta; Magnoliopsida; Fabales; Fabaceae
Description: long non-coding RNA (MTRU_LNC001308)
Source: RNAcentral
UGUAAGACGCAAAGAGUCGGUAUAAUCAACAAUACAAGGAUGCCGCCUAUAGGCGUAACAUCCAACCUCCAACACCAAUCCGGCGAGGACACCAAAAAACCAAACUACAAAACAAACAUGGCGUAAGCUGUGACUCUGAAAUCUAAUUACAAACACCAAAAUUCAAUCCCAUAGCUAUGCCUCAUCCAUUCCAUAACUGCCCCAUGGGGACACACCGCACCAACAGCCGCUGGCCAGGAAAAAACAGCAGCUGAAAAGCUGCGCGCAUGACAGCAAACAGCCCCAGCAGCAACUGUUCUGUGAGGGAGAAACAACUGCGAGGGAGAAACAACUGCCGGAAGGUAUCAAAGUUACGUUCAAAUUUUAAAUCAUAUUCUUGUUUAUGUCAACUAUUAUAUGCCAGUGGUUACCAACACAGAUUCAGUUUGGUCUCUUAUGUUAAUCAUACUUGAGCUUCAAAAUCACAAUAUGCUGUUACAAAAAGACACCGCGGAAGUGAAAAGGAUAUGUAUAUUAUAUUAUAGCAAUUGAAACUCAUAGAGUUCCACGUUCAAUACAUCAAAUGAAUCAGCUGCUUAGCUAAGUGUGAAAUACCAACUUCUGCAAUUCUUUUCACCAUACUUUAUAAUAAUACUAGUAAAAUUUUAGAUAAUACAAAGGGAACAUAUAUAUAUAGUAUUCUUUUUCGGCUGGGAAAGAAUGUGACCUCGAGCUGAGGUCUUUCAGACUCAAACGUGGUGGUCGUUCUUGAUUCGACAGGAGCACAACAUAUAUAUUUGAAACAUUCAAACAAUAAAAAUAGAAGUAGAUAAGUUAACUACUUUUCACGACUCUAAAGCUAUAAUGCCUUCUCAAGCAUGGAAUGGAUGCUUUUAAACCUUUGCUAGCUCAAAGGGGGCGGGUAUGUCUCCCACUUGCCCUACCACAAAGACGUGCAUUCUUUGGAAUAGGAAACUCGUCUCUGAUUGAGGUUGAUGCUGUGUAAACGCGUAAAUAAAAUUGUUGGCCAAGAUACUGUCGUGCCCAAAACUCGGUCCUCAAGUUCCACAUUCCAACGUUGUCAAGUGCAACAUAAAUAGCCGUCCAUGAAUAGGGAUAUACCUUUAACAAAAUUGAAAAUCAUAUAUUGCAUCAGUUAGAAACAACAAAAAUUGGGGAAUCUCACAUAACAGAAAGAAAGCCGGAAAGGUUAAAUAUAGAAACAAAUUUUUAUUCCAAAGUCUCACACACUGAUUAAACACUGCUUCUAUGUAUAGGACAGCUAGUUAGGUAGUUGUAAAUCAACAAACUGAACGUCUAAGUAACCAACCAACUAGUAACUGGUUGUUUGCAUUCUAAAUUACUAACUCUACCCAAUAACAACUAUAUAAUAUGAUUCUCACCUGAGUGGUGCAACGCGCUACUGCAUCUCGAAGAUUGUACCCGUUUCUGCUAGAAGUUGUCCACUGUCCUCCAUCCAUACUACACAUUGAAAUAAUUUAAGUCAUAAAGUGAUAAAUUUUAGAAAUACCAGAGACACAAUAUCAAUUGAAAUAAUUUAAGUCACAAAGUGUUAAAUUUUAGAAAUUCCAGAGACACAAUAUCAGUAACAUGGUAGUUUAUAUAUUUCUUUUACAAAAGUAAAAAACAUGUUACAGUUACAAAUGCCAAAUAAAUAAGGAUUGUUUAAAGAAAUUGUAAUAUUUAAAAAUAUAAGUAAAUAACUAAUAAGCAUUAAAGUGAAAGGAUAAGUAGAAGUUAAAUAUGUGCAGUGUGCUCACCCAACAACAAAGAAAGAGUAGCCAUCAAGAUGAUAGCUCUGAACAAUGUUCUCGUUGUUUUGGAAGACAAUCUCAACAAAAGAUCUGUAAUCAGCUUGCAUCACAGAUGUGUCAAGGUAAAGGCCACCACCAGUGGGUCUCUCAGAUAUGCUUCCAACGCGAAAAACACCGGAGAUUUUGAAGUAAUCAGCGAGCUUAAGAGGCGUGUCUGGGACAACAUAAGAUACACUGUUUAUUCCAUAUCUUUGCUUGCCAUUAACCUGACCAGGAGAGCUAGCCAGAAUGAUUGUCUUUGUUGUGUUUAUGAGACCGUAAUGGUAGGAUCCUUGUGGGUUAGGCCUUGGUCCACUUGCUGUAAGGUUAGUCCUGAAAUUAUGGAUCAUAGCUUGAGUCACAAUAAUCACUUCGUGCACUUUAAGUGAAUCAUACAAACAACGUAAAUACUAUAUGUUGUAAGGAGUGGUCAUUUAUUUAAAGAGUAGGAAUCGAAUUCGGUAUCUUAGAAUUUACAGUACUCAUACAAACUGUGCAUGAACCACUUCUCAGUGGUUAAGGAGUAGUCGAUUUAAUCCUUAAAGUUAUUAUUUUUACAAUAGUAUUUGACAUUGAAAAUCUUUGAUCAUAACAAUCUUUCUGAAUACAAUUUAGUCUAUGAAAGUUUUAGAGACUAAUGUGAUUGAGAGUUUUAAAAUUCGAAGAUUGUUUUUAAAAUUUCUUUAAUUUCAUGACACAAAAUUGACAUUGAAUUUCAAAGACUUUUAAUUGGAGGACAGGGAAACUAAUAAUAAUUAUAGUGACAAUAAUGACUGUUUCCGAUAAGAUCUGAACUAUGUCCCAUGAGGUUGCAAGGUAAAAACACUCGCCACUGAGCUCAUAGUCGAAUUUUAGAUACUAAAUUAAUGAUUCAAUUAGUUAAUUUUUUUAUUCAAGCAUACUAAAUUCUGUAAAACAACAAUGUAGAUAUUAUUCAAAGCAGCUUAAAAGUGAAAUACCUGAUUGAGCGGGCCUGGUUCAAAGACCAAUCAACUUGGA